UCUUAAUAAAUGCUUAUUGAUUGAGGACAUCACACUUCCUUAUCUGUUAUAACUCCUGGGCAAAGGAGAUUCUCCCCGUGGCAAGAUUACUUUUUUCAGCCCAGAGCCCCAACACCCAUUUUGGUGGGUGUGGGUUCAUAUCUGAUUGGCUACACCUUUGAGGAAAAUCCAGUAAUCUCUGUCUUGCAGCCCAGAUUUGCUCAAUGAGUUCCGUGCAGUUAUUACAUAACAAUCGCAUGCAGGAGAAUAUAGAUCCAGGUACUGUGAGGCGGCUGUGACUCUCCUUUCCUGCAGCUAUCACUGGUUCCUGAGGCUGCUCAGGGCAGACAGCAGAGAGAAUGAAGACUGUGCUGCCAAGUGUUCUCCUGGGGAUGUUCGCUAUGUUAAAGGCACAAGCAAAGAUCUCUAAAGAGCUAUUUGACAUAGGAAAGAUCACAUGGAUGUGUUAAGGAAGAUAUUUUGGGUAGCCACGUGGACAUGCCAGGGAAAUUUGCAUUUUCUAGGUCUAGGGAAGCAUACGUGGUAGAGACAGACUAUAAGACUUAUGCCAUAGUGAAUGUUUCCAUGUUAAAGAACGGGAUGACACUUAGUGCCUUGAAGUUUUUCAGUCGAACCCUGGAGAACACUGAUAAAGGUUUGAAGAGAUUAAGAGAAAUUAGUGAACAAAUUGGGAUCUCCAGGGAUAAUGUAUUCAUGUUGAUCUAUGAUGAUACAUGUGUGAAGAUGUUGAAGAAGGAUAAUUUGUAGAAGAGCAUAUUUUGGUUACCAGUGGAGAAAGUUACCUGCCCUGCCUCCAAGGAUUCACAGACUUGAUGGUCCUUUUUCUCCUUCUCCAUCCUUCCAUCCUUCUAUCCUCUCUUUCCAUAUCCCCAACCUCUCUCAUAGGGUUAGUCUCAGUAUUGAAUAAAUUUAUAUUCCAAACUGCUCUCUUAUGUGCU
Molecule: long non-coding RNA, 938 nt
Filed under: Phascolarctos cinereus (koala)
Lineage: Eukaryota; Metazoa; Chordata; Mammalia; Diprotodontia; Phascolarctidae
Description: lncRNA (ENSPCIG00000034106.1)
Source: RNAcentral